Molecule: ribosomal RNA, 322 nt
Filed under: uncultured eukaryote
Lineage: Eukaryota
Description: partial 18S ribosomal RNA
Rfam family: Eukaryotic small subunit ribosomal RNA
Source: RNAcentral
CCCUUAGAUGUCCUGGGCCGCACGCGUGCUACACUGAUACGUGCAACAAGUUUACUUUCCUGGCUCGGAAGAGUUCGGGUAAUCUUCAUAAUGCGUAUCGUGCUAGGGAUAGAUCUUUGAAAUUAUGGAUCUUGAACGAGGAAUUCCUAGUAAGCAUAAGUCAUCAGCUUGUGCUGAUUACGUCCCUGCCCUUUGUACACACCGCCCGUCGCUGCUACCGAUUUUGAGUGAUCCGGUGAACCUUCUGGACUGUGCCUGGGCUUGACUCAGAUGUGGGAAAUUAAGUAAACCUUAUCACUUAGAGGAAGCAGAAGUCGUANCA